Molecule: long non-coding RNA, 1122 nt
Filed under: Calidris pugnax (ruff)
Lineage: Eukaryota; Metazoa; Chordata; Aves; Charadriiformes; Scolopacidae
Description: lncRNA (ENSCPUG00000016416.1)
Source: RNAcentral
AUGAAAUCUGCCCAGGCCUUGAAGUUAGACCACGGAUGGUCCUCCAAACAAACCCACAGACUCGGGCUUGCACUCGGGGACAAUAAACUUGUGCAUGAAGCCCAGUUCCACCAGCCACCCCAUCCUGGGCACCUGGCACUACACAGCCCAGCCUCCUCCCGCUCUGCCUCGCCUCAUCUUUGGAAGGAGAAUGCCUGCCUGCAGCCCCGUCGCCCGCUGGGAUGCCCACAGAAUUCAGUGAGGAGGUUUCUCCGCUGGAGCCACUUCCCAGGCAGUAAGGAAGGUGGCCCCUCACCUCAUGGGCACUGGGAACGGUGCAGAGGUUUGGGAGGGGGGGGUAAGAGCGUGGAGGUGAAAUUCUUGCUGCACCAAAGUCAGUGUGGGCAUUGCCUGCAUUGCCAUCCAGCACGCACAGACCAGGGGGGUCUUAAGCAAUUAAGGAAAACAGUGUGAAAAACACGGUAGGUUGUUUGCAGUCCCCCCUGUUUUCUGCCUGCCUUGAACUCAGGCUGUGGUGUGGUGUCACUUCUUGUUGAUAAAGUUUAUAGGGCUUUUAAGUCGUUAGCUGCAAGCCUCAAAGGAGGAGACGUGUGCGGUUCCUCCUCCUCUGCCCAGACCAAAGGUAGUCGCACACCCUGGCUCUGUUCAAAGCAGAGCAAAGCCUCCACUGACUUGGCAGCGUCCAAGAUUUCUGCUCCUGGACACUGGGACAGACACUGGACCUCUUCCCCCUCCUCUUGCUUUAUUUGAGAGACCUAAGACACACAGGACUGAGGGGCUGAAUGGCACGAUGGUGGGUUUCUACCAACCCUUCUCAUCUAAUUGCAGUCAACUCUAAUUUUGCCUUUUCCACUCUUAACUGAUCUUCUUAACCUGCUUCUUAGCCAGGGCAAAAUUAAGCAUGAGGAAAAAGGCUUAUUCAAGCGUUAUAAUUAUCUACUCCCAAGCUGUAUAACAAAAUGGUUUACACAUUUAAUUGGUUUUGUCUAAAAUUUCCACGUAUACAAUAGUCCUAUUAAUGAAUAUCAUAGCUUCAUUACUGCAUAUCACAUUUUGCUAUUUGUUGUGUACCAUAAAAUAACGUCAGCACAUUAAUAACUUAAAUAACACAAAUGUAAACUC